This 91-nucleotide transfer RNA is filed under the name bacterium. RNAcentral describes it as "tRNA-Ser". It matches the Rfam family "tRNA". From Rfam's summary of the family: Transfer RNA (tRNA) molecules are approximately 80 nucleotides in length. Their secondary structure includes four short double-helical elements and three loops (D, anti-codon, and T loops). Further hydrogen bonds mediate the characteristic L-shaped molecular structure. tRNAs have two regions of fundamental functional importance: the anti-codon, which is responsible for specific mRNA codon recognition, and the 3' end, to which the tRNAs corresponding amino acid is attached (by aminoacyl-tRNA synthetases). tRNAs cope with the degeneracy of the genetic code in two manners: having more than one tRNA (with a specific anti-codon) for a particular amino acid; and 'wobble' base-pairing, i.e. permitting non-standard base-pairing at the 3rd anti-codon position. The record is from RNAcentral.
GGAGAGGUCGCAUAGUUGGUCUAGUGCGUACGCCUGGAAAGCGUAUAAGGCCGCAAGGUCUUCGAGGGUUCGAAUCCCUCCCUCUCCGCCA